AAGUCGUAACAAGGUUUCCGUAGGUGAACCUGCGGAAGGAUCAUUACCAAACACACAAAAGUGUAGUGGAUUUAGUAGGCGUUGUUCUUUUGUGUGUAUGUACGUACGCACACUAGACGGCGUCAACUUUAUGCUAGUUGUAGUGGUAGUGUUGUUGUUGUGAUAAAUGUGAUGAAUGUCGCUAGUCGUCAGACUAAUGGCACACGCACACGCACACACACACCACCACCACCACAACACAACUGGCAACUAGAACCAUAUUAGUUUACUUCAAUACAAAUUGAUAUACAACUUUUAACAAUGGAUCUCUAGGCUCUU
Molecule: unclassified non-coding RNA, 318 nt
Filed under: fungal sp.
Lineage: Eukaryota; Fungi
Description: partial internal transcribed spacer region
Rfam family: Eukaryotic small subunit ribosomal RNA (bases 1-46)
Source: RNAcentral